AUGUGGCAAAUGAGAAACGGGCCCCACCUGUCAAUGAGUAGAAGGUCUUCUUCUUCCUCACUCUUUUUAUGUGGCAUUCCAUCGAACACCUUCUGGGCGACCGAAGAGCAGCGGCGUUCUUGCCCUUGUAGUCCACGGUCCACCUACCGCACGGAGGACACAGCCAAGGAGCUGAGCUCCGGCGACGGCAGCAACGCCUACAUGCGCAGCCUCACCUCGGCAUGGUGCUCCGGCCGCCGCCGCCCCGUUGGCGUGCGUGUGUGCGUGCUCUACACUAGCAGCUACAGUCAACGCAUGCGUGCGUGCACCUGCACUACAGCAGUGGGAGGGGGGGAGGAGAGAGAACGACGGCGGCGUGCUCGGUGGCGAGCUCGCUAUGGGUGCGGGCGACUUCGGGCCGUCGUCGUCGUCCCCAUCGGCGGCGGAUCCGCGGCCCAUCCUCUAUCCUGGCGCGAGAACGCCCACCACGCCAGCGCUCCAUGGUUGCUCCACGCCUACCCUGCCGGUGCUCCAUGGAGAGGCGGACGAGCAGCCGCUGUUCCCCAUGACCCCCUGACACCACCUCCCGGAGCUUGGGCGCGUGGGCGCACGGUGGUGGACGGUGGCAGGAUGGUGACCACGGCGAGGUUGCUCCGGCGGAGGGGGAAGGACCACCUCGACGGGCGCGGCCGACCUUGA
Molecule: ribosomal RNA, 678 nt
Filed under: Triticum aestivum (bread wheat)
Lineage: Eukaryota; Viridiplantae; Streptophyta; Magnoliopsida; Poales; Poaceae
Description: partial small subunit ribosomal RNA
Source: RNAcentral